CCGAUAUCCGGAUAGAUCGAAUGAAGGCAAAGCAACAUUCAAGAACCUAUUGGCAUAUGGUUACCGUAUAAUUCAUCUCUUUGAUCCUAAUACUCAAGGAUGAUUAGAAUUUAAUUGUCAAUCCUAGAUAAGUCAUUCAUAUUGUAUUUCAAUCUUUUUCAAAUCCAUCAUAUAGAUUAUCUGAGCUCAGAUUUUGCUAAAUUGAAAUGCAUUGAUAUAUUAACUCCUAAUUCGGAGGGAUUAAUAUCAUCUUAACUCAUGCACCGACUUGACAAGUACUUGACUGCAUCCAGAAAUCUUUCAUCACUGGAUUAGAAACUCAAUUAGUCCGACACCAAAAUACAGUGAGUUGCUUGUAAGUCAUCAUGUGAUC
RNAcentral lists this long non-coding RNA (373 nucleotides) under Elaeis guineensis (African oil palm). RNAcentral describes it as "long non-coding RNA (EGUI_LNC031701)". Lineage: Eukaryota; Viridiplantae; Streptophyta; Magnoliopsida; Arecales; Arecaceae. The record is from RNAcentral.